AGAGUUUGAUCCUGGCUCAGGACGAACGCUGGCGGCGCGCCUAACACAUGCAAGUCGAACGAGCGAGAGAGAGCUUGCUUUCUCGAGCGAGUGACGAACGGGUGAGUAACGCGUGAGGAACCUGCCUCAAAGAGGGGGACAACAGUUGGAAACGACUGCUAAUACCGCAUAAGCCCACGGCUCGGCAUAGAGCAGAGGGAAAAGGAGCAAUCCGCUUUGAGAUGGCCUCGCGUCCGAUUAGCUAGUUGGUGAGGUAAUGGCCCACCAAGGCGACGAUCGGUAGCCGGACUGAGAGGUUGAACGGCCACAUUGGGACUGAGACACGGCCCAGACUCCUACGGGAGGCAGCAGUGGGGAAUACUGCACAAUGGGGGAAACCCUGAUGCAGCGACGCCGCGUGGAGGAAGAAGGUCUUCGGAUUGUAAACUCCUGUUGUUGAGGAAGAUAACGACGGUACUCAACAAGGAAGUGACGGCUAACUACGUGCCAGCAGCCGCGGUAAAACGUAGGUCACAAGCGUUGUCCGGAAUUACUGGGUGUAAAGGGAGCGCAGGCGGGAAGACAAGUUGGAAGUGAAAUCCAUGGGCUCAACCCAUGAACUGCUUUCAAAACUGUUUUUCUUGAGUAGUGCAGUGGUAGGUGGAAUUCCCGGUGUAGCGGUGGAAUGCGUAGAUAUCGGGAGGAACACCAGUGGCGAAGGCGGCCUACUGGGCACCAACUGACGCUGAGGCUCGAAAGUGUGGGUAGCAAACAGGAUUAGAUACCCUGGUAGUCCACACUGUAAACGAUGAUUACUAGGUGUUGGAGGAUUGACCCCUUCAGUGCCGCAGUUAACACAAUAAGUAAUCCACCUGGGGAGUACGACCGCAAGGUUGAAACUCAAAGGAAUUGACGGGGGCCCGCACAAGCAGUGGAGUAUGUGGUUCAAUUCGAAGCAACGCGAAGAACCUUACCAGGUCUUGACAUCCUUCUGACCGCACCUUAAUCGGUGCUUUCCUUCGGGACAGAAGAGACAGGUGGUGCAUGGUUGUCGUCAGCUCGUGUCGUGAGAUGUUGGGUUAAGUCCCGCAACGAGCGCAACCCCUAUCUUCAGUAGCCAGCAGGUGAAGCUGGGCACUCUGGAGAGACUGCCAGGGAUAACCUGGAGGAAGGUGGGGACGACGUCAAAUCAUCAUGCCCCUUAUGAUCUGGGCGACACACGUGCUACAAUGGCGGUCACAGAGUGAGGCGAACCCGCGAGGGGGAGCAAACCACAAAAAGGCCGUCCCAGUUCGGACUGUAGUCUGCAACCCGACUACACGAAGCUGGAAUCGCUAGUAAUCGCGAAUCAGAAUGUCGCGGUGAAUACGUUCCCGGGUCUUGUACACACCGCCCGUCACACCAUGGGAGUCGGAAAUGCCCGAAGCCAGUGACCCAACCUUUUGGAGGGAGCUGUCGAAGGUGGAGCCGGUAACUGGGGUGAAGUCGUAACAAGGUA
This 1477-nucleotide ribosomal RNA is filed under the name metagenome. RNAcentral describes it as "bacterial SSU rRNA". It matches the Rfam family "Bacterial small subunit ribosomal RNA". The record is from RNAcentral.